RNAcentral lists this ribosomal RNA (301 nucleotides) under uncultured bacterium. RNAcentral describes it as "partial 16S ribosomal RNA". It matches the Rfam family "Bacterial small subunit ribosomal RNA", at positions 509 to 807 of the family's 1533-position model. The record is from RNAcentral.
CAGCAGCCGCGGGAAUACGUAGGUGGCGAGCGUUGUCCGGAAUUAUUGGGCGUAAAGGGCUCGCAGGCGGUUUCUUAAGUCUGAUGUGAAAGCCCCCGGCUCAACCGGGGAGGGUCAUUGGAAACUGGGAAACUUGAGUGCAGAAGAGGAGGGUGGAAUUCCACGUGUAGCGGUGAAAUGCGUAGAGAUGUGGAGGAACACCAGUGGCGAAGGCGACUCUCUGGUUUGUAACUGACGCUGAGGAGCGAAAGCGUGGGGAGCGAACAGGAUUAGAUACCCCUGUAGUCCCUGUCUCUUAUAC